This 72-nucleotide transfer RNA is filed under the name Candidatus Woesearchaeota archaeon. RNAcentral's name for it is "tRNA-Tyr". It matches the Rfam family "tRNA". Rfam says of the family: Transfer RNA (tRNA) molecules are approximately 80 nucleotides in length. Lineage: Archaea; Nanobdellati; Candidatus Woesearchaeota. The record is from RNAcentral.
CCCCGCGUAGCUCAACGGUAGAGCGCAUGGCUGUAGACCAUGAGGUUGCUGGUUCAAAUCCGGCCGCGGGGA